GGUGGUUCGCCGCCCCCGACGUCGCGAGAAGUCCAUUGAACCUUAUCAUUUAGAGGAAGGAGAAGUCGUAACAAGGUUUCCGUAGGUGAACCUGCGGAAGGAUCAUUGUCGUGACCCUACCAAAACAGACCGUGAACGCGUCAUCUUGCCUGCCAGCGGUGGCCCUGCCGUCGCUUGGCCAAAGUCCUCGAUAACCUCCUCUUCUCGGAGCGGGGGCUCGGGGUAAAAGAACCCACGGCGCCGAAGGCGUCAAGGAACACUGUGCCUAACCCGGGGAAGCGGCUUGCUUGCUAGCUGCCCCUCGUGUUGCAAAGCUAUUUAAUCCACACGACUCUCGGCAACGGAUAUCUCGGCUCUCGCAUCGAUGAAGAACGUAGCGAAAUGCGAUACCUGGUGUGAAUUGCAGAAUCCCGCGAACCAUCGAGUCUUUGAACGCAAGUUGCGCCCGAGGCCACUUGGCCGAGGGCACGCCUGCCUGGGCGUCACGCCAAACACGCUCCCACCUCUCAUCGGGGGGUGGGAUGCGGCAUGUGGCUCCCCGUCUCGCAAGGGGCGGUGGGCCGAAGAUGCGGCUGCCGGCGUAUCGUGCCGGACACAGCGCGUGGUGGGCGAACUCGUUUUACUUACCGCAGUGCAUCCGGCCCGUAGCCGACAUGAUGGCCUUAAGGACCCAAUGAAUGGAGCGCAUGACGCUCUGACCGCGACCCCAGGUCAGGCGGGACUACCCGCUGAAUUUAAGCAUAUAAAUAAG
RNAcentral lists this ribosomal RNA (751 nucleotides) under Poa colensoi. Its description in RNAcentral is "eukaryotic LSU rRNA". The stretch from base 330 to 485 matches the Rfam family "5.8S ribosomal RNA". The record is from RNAcentral. Lineage: Eukaryota; Viridiplantae; Streptophyta; Magnoliopsida; Poales; Poaceae.